UGGCCUACGGGACGCAGCAGUGGGGAAUAUUGCACAAUGGGGGAAACCCUGAUGCAGCGACGCCGCGUGAAGGAUGAAGUAUUUCGGUAUGUAAACUUCUAUCAGCAGGGAAGAAAAUGACGGUACCUGACUAAGAAGCCCCGGCUAACUACGUGCCAGCAGCCGCGGUAAUACGUAGGGGGCAAGCGUUAUCCGGAUUUACUGGGUGUAAAGGGAGCGCAGGCGGUGCGGCAAGUCUGAUGUGAAAGCCCGGGGCUCAACCCCGGGACUGCAUUGGAAACUACCGAACUAGAGUGUCGGAGAGG
This 305-nucleotide ribosomal RNA is filed under the name uncultured bacterium. RNAcentral's name for it is "bacterial SSU rRNA". It matches the Rfam family "Bacterial small subunit ribosomal RNA", at positions 335 to 657 of the family's 1533-position model. The record is from RNAcentral.